UGGGGAAUCUUCCGCAAUGGGCGAAAGCCUGACGGAGCGACACCGCGUGGAGGAUGAAACCCUUUUCGGGCGUAAACUCCUGUUCUGAGGGACGAAAUUUUUGACGGUACCUCAGGAGAAAGCACCGGCUAAUUCUGUGCCAGCAGCCGCGGUAAGACAGAAGGUGCAAGCGUUACUCGGAAUUACUGGGCGUAAAGCGUCCGCAGGUGUCCUUGUAAGUCUGGUGUCAAAACGCAGAGCUCAACUCAGCGUCCGUACCGGAAACUGCAGGGAUUGAGUCACUCAGAGGUAUCUGGAAUGCCGUGUGUAGGGGUAAAAUCCGUUGAUCCACGGUAGAACGCCAAAAGCAAAGGCAGGAUACUAGGAGUGCACUGACACUCAGGGACGAAAGCGUGGGGAGCAAACGGG
This 408-nucleotide ribosomal RNA is filed under the name uncultured bacterium. RNAcentral's name for it is "bacterial SSU rRNA". It matches the Rfam family "Bacterial small subunit ribosomal RNA", at positions 355 to 776 of the family's 1533-position model. The record is from RNAcentral.